This 468-nucleotide ribosomal RNA is filed under the name uncultured bacterium. RNAcentral's name for it is "partial 16S ribosomal RNA". It matches the Rfam family "Bacterial small subunit ribosomal RNA", at positions 28 to 507 of the family's 1533-position model. The record is from RNAcentral.
GACGAACGCUGGCGGCGUGCUUAACACAUGCAAGUCGAACGGAAAGGCCCUGCUUUUGUGGGGUGCUCGAGUGGCGAACGGGUGAGUAACACGUGAGUAACCUGCCCUUGACUUUGGGAUAACUUCAGGAAACUGGGGCUAAUACCGGAUAGGAGCUCCUGCUGCAUGGUGGGGGUUGGAAAGUUUCGGCGGUUGGGGAUGGACUCGCGGCUUAUCAGCUUGUUGGUGGGGUAGUGGCUUACCAAGGGUUUGACGGGUAGCCGGCCUGAGAGGGUGACCGGCCACAAUGGGACUGCGAUACGGCCCAGACUCCUACGGGAGGCAGCAGUGGGGAAUAUUGCACAAUGGGCGGAAGCCUGAUGCAGCAACGCCGCGUGCGGGAUGACGGCCUUCGGGUUGUAAACCGCUUUAGCCUGUGACGAAGCGUGAGUGACGGUAAUGGGUAAAGAAGCACCGGCUAACUACGUG